Molecule: long non-coding RNA, 3100 nt
Organism: Hypanus sabinus (Atlantic stingray)
Lineage: Eukaryota; Metazoa; Chordata; Chondrichthyes; Myliobatiformes; Dasyatidae
Exons: 3
Source: RefSeq, a predicted model, not a curated record
UAACUUUUGAUGGCGCUUCGCAGCCCAAUUUGGAGGUGGAUUAUCGCCACCAACUGGAGUGUGGAGAGCUCGGGGGGGAACCCGCACCACUUCUCUUUCAAAGGAAAGCUAAAUUACCCCCAAAGCCCUAUAGAUCCUGCAUCGAUUUGUUGGGCACAGGAUAGAUCCUCAGAGAUGUUGACACCCAGGAACUUGAAACUGCUCACCCUCCCCACUUCUGAUCCCUCUGAGGACAGGUUUGAUUAAACGCCAGCCUUUGCCACUCAGACGCAAAGCCUGCCGGUUGCUAUGGUUCGACUGUUGGGACAGCCCCGGUUGCCAUGGUUUCACACACCCACCCACUGCAUGAGAUCAUGCAGGUAAAAAGCCAGUGUCAAUGUGGAAGGUCUGGUUCUCCCAGUUCUGGUCAACGUUCCGGAACCUUCUGAUGUAUACAGAUUGGCUCCUGUGGAAACUCUGAGUCCCUGUUGAUGUUUGCUUGUCAAAUUGCCAAGUUAAACUCAUCCCAGGGGUAGGGCAGUCGAUGCGCAGGAAAGAAUCCGGCACACAAUCACGGGAAGGGGGCAGAAUUCCCAACGUAUCCCAGCAGGUGGAAAAAUUCAGGGAGGGAAUUCUGGAGCCGAGGACCCUGGGGUUUGAGGAUUGCCGGUGACAGAGCAACGGGAACUGGGUUGGGGGGGGGGGGAGUUGCUGAUUACAGAUUAAAGGGAGUCUUAUCAUUGGCUUUAUCUGCUUCACCUCCAUCGAAACGUACGUGCUGCAUCACUUGUGUCACUGAUCAAUACAGUCCGAGGACUGUACCGGGGAGAGCCCAGCCCUCCCACAACUGCAGAAUUCCUUGCUUACAAUUCCCAGUAUUUUUAUUCAGAGAUAUGGCCCGAUAAUGGGCACUUCCAGCCCAAUGAGUCCGCACCGCCCGAUUACACCCCUGUGACCAAUUGACCACAGGUCUUUGCACUGUAGGGGAAACCACAGCACCCGGAGGAAACCUACGAGGCCGUGCAAACUCCUCACAGGCAGCAGUGAGAAUUGAACUGGCACUAACCGCUACGCGGUCGUGCCGUGAUGGCAGAAGAGAUCGCGGGGGGUAAAGAAGGUGACAGAUGGUGACCAGAGGGGAGAUGACAGCCCUCGGCUAGUGGUGAGGGAUCCUGGUGACAUCACCGAGAACGCUGCACCGUCACCCAGAGGGAGUGACUCAAGGUACUCUUCACGGGGAAUCUGCUGACAUCGUGGGGAAGAGGCGGGCUCCACAUCGCGUUUCUGUUUGCAUUCUAUAGUUUCUGCCCGGGCUCUGAUGCGUCAGUCACAUGCGUGCAGGGGUGAAACAGAUCUUGGCAGAAUGAGGGAGAGAAGGAGAAAGAGACUGAAAAGAAGGAAGAGAGUCAGAAGUAUGUGGAAAACUGAAGCCAAGUUCAAGUUUACUUUCAUCUUAACAAGUACAUGUCUGAACAAGUGAAAAACCUAUUUGCUGCUGCAACUCAGGCUCAGAACAUCAGAUAAGCAGCACUCACAAGAAAAGCGUAAACUACAUGUAAAUCAAAUAAUUUUUACAGGAAUAAACACAAAUGGAACACUAUAUCAGGCAGACUGUUGUGAACGGUAAUAUACAGAUAGACCGUAGGCCCUUGGGUCCAUGAUGCUGUGCCAACAUUUUAAUCUACUCUGAGAUCAAUCUAACCCUUUCCUGCCAUUUACCUGUUAUCUACGUGCCUAUCUAAGAGUCUCUCAAAUGUCUCCCGCCGCUGCCUGUAGGGAAUUUGUGCGUUCUCCGUAACCCUGUGGGGUUCCUCCGGGCGCUGCAGAUUUUCCUCCCGCAGUCCGAAGACAAACGGGUUAGUAGCUUAACUGGUCAUGUGAUUAAGCCAGGGUUAAGUCAUAGGUUUGCUGUGUGGAGCAGCUCGAAGGGAGUAUUCUGCACCCUAUCUCAAUAAACCAUCAAGAAAAUAAAUAAAUACCUACCUCUAUUCCCACCCACGGCAGCAUGUUCCACACGCUCUCCGCUCUCUGUGUAAGAAAACUCUCACCAAACAUCUCUCCCUAUACUUCCCUCCAAUCACCUCCAAAUUAUCUCCCCCUCCCAAUAGUCUAAUGAAAGCCCCGGGGAAAAAGUCUCUUUUGAUAGAAAAAUUGUUACUUUGAUAAUAAAUUUACUUUGAACCUUGAACUUGAAUUUGAAUUGCUGUUUUUGUGUCCCCCCCCCCAACCCCCCAAAACACUUGACAUCACUUACUUGCAUAUGAAUUUGGUAUGUUUAUGUACAGAACACAGGCUCACAUAUUCUACUGACUUACCCCCGACCGUGAGGCCAAAUUUGGAGAAUUGAGAGCAGUUCUGAUCGCCUACAUACAGGGAAUAUAUUAAAAAGUUGACAGAGUGCAGAGAAAAUGGACAAGGGUGUUGGACUUGAGGAGUUGAGUUGACUUCAGGAGGGCACAGAGCGACCACUCCUCGCUGAACAUUGACGGCUCCUCCGUAGAGAUCGUUAAGAGCACCAAAUUUCUUGGUGUUCACCUGACGGAGAAUCUCACCUGGUCCCUCAAUGCCAGCUCCAUAGCAAAGAAAGCCCAGCAGCAUCUCUACUUUCUGCAAAGGCUGAGGAAAGUCCAUCUCCCACCCCCCAUCCUCAUCACAUUCUACAAGGGUUGUAUUGAGAGCAUCCUGAGCAGCUGCACCACUGCCUGGUUUGGAAAUUGCACCAUCUCAGAUUGCAAAACCUUGCAGCGGAUAGUGAGGUCAGCUGAGAAGAUCAUCGGGGUCUCUCUUCCCGCCAUUACAGACAUUUACACCACACGCUGCAGCCGCAAAGCUAACGGUAUUGUGAAGGACCCCAUGCACCCCUCACACAAACUCUUCUCCCUCCUGCCGUCUGGGAAAAGGCACCGAAGCAUUUGGGCUCUCACGACCAGACUAUGUAACAGUUUCUUCCCCCAAGCUAUCAGACUCUUCAAUACCCAGAGCCUGGACUGACACCUUACUGCCCUAUUGUCUUGUUUAUUUUUUAUUGUAAUACCUGCACUGUUUUGUGCACUUUAUGCAGUCCUGGGUAGGUCCGUAGUCUAGUGUAGUUUUUUUUCUGUGUUAUAUUUUACGUAGUUCA